GGCAGUGUGGUGUAGUGAUUUGAGUACUGGAUUAUGACUCUGGAGAUCAGGGUUCAAAUCCCGGCUGAGCCA
Molecule: non-coding RNA, 72 nt
Organism: Phrynosoma platyrhinos (Desert horned lizard)
Lineage: Eukaryota; Metazoa; Chordata; Lepidosauria; Squamata; Phrynosomatidae
Source: the annotation of a GenBank genome assembly